UGAGCUAGCGGCGGACGGGUGAGUAAUGCUUAGGAAUCUGCCUAUUAGUGGGGGACAACAUUCCGAAAGGAAUGCUAAUACCGCAUACGCCCUACGGGGGAAAGCAGGGGAUCUUCGGACCUUGCGCUAAUAGAUGAGCCUAAGUCAGAUUAGCUAGUUGGUGGGGUAAAGGCCUACCAAGGCGACGAUCUGUAGCGGGUCUGAGAGGAUGAUCCGCCACACUGGGACUGAGACACGGCCCAGACUCCUACGGGAGGCAGCAGUGGGGAAUAUUGGACAAUGGGCGCAAGCCUGAUCCAGCCAUGCCGCGUGUGUGAAGAAGGCCUUUUGGUUGUAAAGCACUUUAAGCGAGGAGGAGGCUACUUGGAUUAAUACUCUAGGAUAGUGGACGUUACUCGCAGAAUAAGCACCGGCUAACUCUGUGCCAGCAGCCGCGGUAAUACAGAGGGUGCGAGCGUUAAUCGGAUUUACUGGGCGUAAAGCGUGCGUAGGCGGCUUUUUAAGUCGGAUGUGAAAUCCCUGAGCUUAACUUAGGAAUUGCAUUCGAUACUGGGAAGCUAGAGUAUGGGAGAGGAUGGUAGAAUUCCAGGUGUAGCGGUGAAAUGCGUAGAGAUCUGGAGGAAUACCGAUGGCGAAGGCAGCCAUCUGGCCUAAUACUGACGCUGAGGUACGAAAGCAU
RNAcentral lists this ribosomal RNA (679 nucleotides) under Acinetobacter vivianii. RNAcentral describes it as "bacterial SSU rRNA". It matches the Rfam family "Bacterial small subunit ribosomal RNA", at positions 88 to 762 of the family's 1533-position model. Lineage: Bacteria; Pseudomonadati; Pseudomonadota; Gammaproteobacteria; Moraxellales; Moraxellaceae. The record is from RNAcentral.